This 497-nucleotide ribosomal RNA is filed under the name uncultured bacterium. RNAcentral's name for it is "bacterial SSU rRNA". It matches the Rfam family "Bacterial small subunit ribosomal RNA", at positions 40 to 518 of the family's 1533-position model. The record is from RNAcentral.
CGUACAGGCGUUAACACGAUGCAAGUCGAGGGGCAGCAUUGGGAUAGCUUGCUAUUUCAGAUGGCGACCGGCGCACGGGUGAGUAACGCGUAUCCAACCUUCCUGCCAGUAGGGAACAGCCCGGCGAAAGUCGGAUUAAUGCCCCUAGUGUUCUUUCAAUGCGGACAUCUAAGUUGAAGGAAAGAUUCAUCGCUGGCAGGAUGGGGAUGCGUCCGAUUAGCUUGCCGGCGGGGUAACGGCCACCGGGGCGACGAUCGGUAGGGGUUCUGAGAGGAAGGUCCCCCCACACUGGUACUGAGACACGGACCAGACUCCUACGGGAGGCAGCAGUGAGGAAUAUUGGUCAAUGGGCGUAAGCCUGAACCAGCCAAGUAGCGUGCAGGAUGACGGCCCUACGGGUUGUAAACUGCUUUUAUGCGGGGAUAAAGUGCGGCACGUGUGCCGCUUUUGCAGGUACCGCAUGAAUAAGGACCGGCUAAUUCCGUGCCAGCCGCCGC